RNAcentral lists this ribosomal RNA (544 nucleotides) under uncultured bacterium. RNAcentral's name for it is "bacterial SSU rRNA". It matches the Rfam family "Bacterial small subunit ribosomal RNA", at positions 355 to 916 of the family's 1533-position model. The record is from RNAcentral.
UGGGGAAUCUUGGACAAUGGGGGCAACCCUGAUCCAGCCAUGCCGCGUGAGUGAUGAAGGCCUUAGGGUCGUAAAGCUCUUUCGCCUGUGAAGAUAAUGACGGUAGCAGGUAAAGAAACCCCGGCUAACUCCGUGCCAGCAGCCGCGGUAAUACGGAGGGGGUUAGCGUUGUUCGGAAUUACUGGGCGUAAAGCGCACGUAGGCGGACUGAUCAGUCAGGGGUGAAAUCCCGGGGCUCAACCCCGGAACUGCCUCCAAAACUAUUGGUCUAGAGUUCGAGAGAGGUGAGUGGAAUUCCAAGUGUAGAGGUGAAAUUCGUAGAUAUUUGGAGGAACACCAGUGGCGAAGGCGGCUCACUGGCUCGAUACUGACGCUGAGGCGCGAAAGCGUGGGGAGCAAACAGGAUUUAGAUACCCUGGUAGUCCACGCCGUAAACGAUGAGUGCUAGUCGUCGGCAGGCAUGCCUGUCGGUGACGCAGCUAACGCAUUAAGCACUCCGCCUGGGGAGUACGGCCGCAAGGUUAAAACUCAAAUGAAUUGACGG